AUCCCAGAUCGCUGGUGCUCCGACUUCUGCUCCUUCUCCCGCUCUGCACCCGGUAAUAAUAAUAAUGAUAAUUAUUAUUAUUAUAUUUAUGCGUUUACUAUGCGCCAGCCACCGUACUGAACCCUGGGCGGGAAUACAAGAAAAUCGGAUCGCUGCGCCUCCUACUUCUGCUCCUUCUCCUGCUCUACGCCCGAAAAGAAACGGAGCGACAUUUUAGGCUGACUGCCUGAAAAGGAGCCAGCGGUCGAAAGGGAUGCGGCAGGUAGACUGGUCCCCCCCUCACUGACCCAACUCCCUUCUAUCAUGUUCCACCAGUACUUUCAUUCAUUCAGUAGUAUUUAUUGAGCCCUGAUUAUAUGCAGAGCACUGUAUUAGCGUUGGGGAGAGUAUGAUAUAACAAUAAACAGACUCAUUCCCUGCCCACAAUGAGCUUACAGACUAGGGGGGAGACAGAUGUUAAUAUAAUGUACAGAUAUGUUCAUAAGUGCUGUGGGGUUGGGGGGGGGGGGUGAAUGAAGGGAGCAAGUCAGGGCAAUGCAGAAGGGACUGGGAGAAGAAGAAAAGAGGACUUAGUCAAGAAAGGCCUCUGUGGGAAAAACUUCCAGGAACUCUCAUUCCAGUGAGUUUUCCAAACACCCUUUUGCCACUAAGGGCAAAAUUGGCCACCGGCCUGUUUGUAAUAUUGAUUCUUCCCAGGCUGCUCCAACCCAGAGAACCAUGGGAUGGCUGGAAAUGGAUUUAAAAAAAAGACUUCACAAUAACAAUAAUCAUAAUAAUAACGGUACUUGCUAAGCACUUUGGGCUGUCCUAAGCACUGGGGUAGGUAUAAAUAAUCAGGUUGGACACAGUUCCUCUCCCACAUGGGGCUCAGACUCUUAAUCCCCAUUUUAAGGAUGAGGUAACAGGCACAGAGAAGUUUAGUGACUUCCCCAAGGUCACACAGCAGACAAGUGCCGGGUUUAGAACCCAGGUCCUUUGGACUCCCAAGUCCAUGCUCUAUCCACUGGGUCAUGCUCCUUCUCUGCAACUUUGCCACCAAGUUGUAAAAUUCAUUCUUCCCAGACUGCUCCGACCUUAGUUGGAAAUAGAUUAAAAAAAAAAAAAAAGACACCAUGGCCUGAAAUGGCCACUCCUGAUUGGCUUUUGUACCUUUCCAAGAUGGAAGCGCAGAAGCAGAGUGCCUACCUUUUGAUUCUACUGACCCAAACCCUCUUUAACUGACACCACAGAGGGAGGUUUGGGUCAAAGGUCACAAUCUUUUUGAACCACAGUGGCUUGUCAUCCCCCGCAGAUGUCCUCCUUUUGAGAGCCAGCCCUUGGAGUGUUGGGAAAGCUGCAGCUGAGC
Molecule: long non-coding RNA, 1345 nt
Filed under: Ornithorhynchus anatinus (platypus)
Lineage: Eukaryota; Metazoa; Chordata; Mammalia; Monotremata; Ornithorhynchidae
Description: lncRNA (ENSOANG00000050171.1)
Source: RNAcentral